CCUACGGGAGGCAGCAGUCGAGAAUCAUUCACAAUGGGGGAAACCCUGAUGGUGCGACGCCGCGUGGGGGAAUGAAGGUCUUCGGAUUGUAAACCCCUGUCAUGUGGGAGCAAAUUAAAAAGAUAGUACCACAAGAGGAAGAGACGGCUAACUCUGUGACAGCAGCCGCGGUAAUACAGAGGUCCCAAGCGUUGUUCGGAAGCACUGGGAGUAAAGCGUGCGUAGGCGGUUGCGUAAGUCGUGUGUGAAAGGCCCGGGCUCAACCCGCGGACGGCACAUGAAACUGGGAGACUAGAGUAAUGGAGGGGGGACCGGAAUUCUCGGUGUAGCAGUGAAAUGCGUAGAGAUCGAGAGGAACACUCGUGGCGAAGGCGGGUUCCUGGACAUUAACUGACGCUGAGGCACGAAGGCCAGGGGAGCGAAAGGGAUUAGAUACCCGUGUAGUC
RNAcentral lists this ribosomal RNA (446 nucleotides) under uncultured bacterium. Its description in RNAcentral is "partial 16S ribosomal RNA". It matches the Rfam family "Bacterial small subunit ribosomal RNA", at positions 338 to 795 of the family's 1533-position model. The record is from RNAcentral.